AUAUUGGACAAUGGUGGCAACCCUGAUCCAGCCAUGUCGCGUGUGUGAAGAAGUUCUUCGGAUUGUAAAGCACUUUAAGUUGGGAGGAAGGGCUUUGGGCUAAUACCCUGAAGUUUUGACGUUACCAACAGACUAAGCACCGGUUAACUCUUUGCCCGUAGCCGCGGUAAUACAGAGGGUGCAAGCGUUAAUCGGAAUUACUGGGCGUAAAGCGCGCGUAGGUGGUUCAGUAAGAUGGGUGUGAAAUCCCCGGGCUUAACCUGGGAACUGCUUUCAUAACUGCUGAGCUAGAGUACGGUAGAGGGUAGUGGAAUUUCCUGUGUAGCGGUGAAAUGCGUAGAUAUAGGAAGGAACACCAGUGGCGAAGGCGACUACCUGGACUGAUACUGACACUGAGGUGCGAAAGCGUGGGGAGCAAACAU
Molecule: ribosomal RNA, 422 nt
Filed under: uncultured bacterium
Lineage: Bacteria
Description: partial 16S ribosomal RNA
Rfam family: Bacterial small subunit ribosomal RNA
Source: RNAcentral